Molecule: long non-coding RNA, 728 nt
Filed under: Equus caballus (horse)
Lineage: Eukaryota; Metazoa; Chordata; Mammalia; Perissodactyla; Equidae
Description: lncRNA (ENSECAG00000054369.1)
Source: RNAcentral
GGAAAAUGUGAGGUUGGCGUCACUUAGGGGAGGGAAUGAGUUAUAAGAAAAGAACAACUUGAUAGGGGAAAGCAGUGCAGGAAGCCUCAGCCCUCGGCCCUCAGCCCUCGGAAAGGGCGUCUGAAGAGUGCGGGAACGUCAAGAAUGAUGGGGAUUUCCGGGCAGAAUGCAGAGCAGAAGAGCCACAUGGAGCAUCAAAAAAUGAGAGGAGAGUGACCCAAAGGCCAACAAGCCAAGAGGUGACCGUCAGAGGCCCUGCAGGCCAGACCAGCACCUCGGGGCAGCGCUCUGCCAGCACACCUCGAGGCAGGAGGAGUCUCACAUUAUCUCAAAGGCUGUCGAGAAGCGCUAUUAUAACUCGCACCUAUAGAAGAGUUCAGUGUCAGACUUCUUUGUUGUCCUAUCAGUAUCAGGUUAAAAGACAGUUGGUCACUUUGCUGAUGAUGUUCAUCAUGGCCACUCUGCCCACACGCUGCUCUGAGGAAAUUUGCCCUAAAGAGCCACGUUCUGGAGCACGUGCUCCAUCUGCAUUCCUCACAUGAUUGGACAAGGGGUGGUCACUUCAUCUAAGGGUGACCCACUUAUUGGUGACCCACCAAUGGUGAUCAGUGAUUGGGGUAGCCUGGCUCAAAAAUAUGAGCUAGGGUAAAUAAAUCCUUUCAGGGGAAUCUUGAAUUGAAAAUGGAAAGGCUGAGUCGAUUGGCAGUGUACACUGAAGUUGGAAAUGG